UCACGAAGAAGCAAGACCUAUUUUGAGCUUACAAGCUUACAGAGGAGGACAAGGAAGAAAUUGAGAAGUUAGCCUAGGAUCCAAAUAUUGAAAAAAAUAUUAUCAAGUCAAUUGCUCCAUCAAUCUAUGGCCACGACGACAUAAAAAUUGCAAUAGCUCUUGCAAUGUUUGGAGGUCAAGAGAAAAAUGUUGAAGGGAAACAUUGGUUGCGAGGGGACAUAAAUGUGCUCGUGCUAGGUGACCCAGGGACAACAAAAUCUCAGUUUCUCAAACUAGCCAUAGGGUUGUUUAUACAAUUGGGAAAGGAGUUUCUGCUGUAGGGCUGACAGCGACAGUACCCAAGGACCUAGUCACACGAGAGUGGACACUUGAAGGAGGGGCCCUUGUACUUGUCGAUAAAGA
Molecule: non-coding RNA, 402 nt
Organism: Camellia sinensis
Lineage: Eukaryota; Viridiplantae; Streptophyta; Magnoliopsida; Ericales; Theaceae
Source: RefSeq, a predicted model, not a curated record